Molecule: ribosomal RNA, 476 nt
Filed under: uncultured anaerobic ammonium-oxidizing bacterium
Lineage: Bacteria
Description: bacterial SSU rRNA
Rfam family: Bacterial small subunit ribosomal RNA
Source: RNAcentral
UUCGCAAUGCCCGAAAGGGUGACGAUGCGACGCCGCGUGAGCGAAGAAGGCCCUAGGGUUGUAAAGCUCUGUCGAGGGUUAUGAAAUAUAGAUGGGUUAAUACCCCAUUUAUUUGACAAAAGCCCAAAAGGAAGCCACGGCUAACUCUGUGCCAGCAGCCGCGGUAAUACAGAGGUGACGAGCGUUGUUCGGUAUUAUUGGGCGUAAAGAGCACGUAGGUGGUUUUGUAAGUCAGGUGUGAAAGCCUUCUGUUCAAAGGGAGAACGGCAUCUGAAACUGCAGAUCUUGAGUGUAGGAGGGGAGAGUGGAACUUCUGGUGGAGCGGUGAAAUGCGUAGAUAUCAGAAGGAACGUCGGCGGCGAAAGCGACUCUCUGGCCUAUUACUGACACUGAGGUGCGAAAGUUAGGGGAGCAAACGGGAUUAGAUACCCCGGUAGUCCUAACCGUAAACGAUGGGCACUAAGUAGAGGGGUUUU